Molecule: ribosomal RNA, 253 nt
Filed under: uncultured bacterium
Lineage: Bacteria
Description: partial 16S ribosomal RNA
Rfam family: Bacterial small subunit ribosomal RNA
Source: RNAcentral
UACAUAGGGGGCAAGCGUUAUCCGGAAUUAUUGGGUGUAAAGGGUGCGUAGACGGAGAAACAAGUUGGUUGUGAAAUCCCUCGGCUCAACCGAGGAACUGCAACCAAAACCAUUUCCCUUGAGUGUCGGAGAGGAAAGUGGAAUUCCUAGUGUAGCGGUGAAAUGCGUAGAUAUUAGGAGGAACACCAGUGGCGAAGGCGACUUUCUGGACGAUAACUGACGUUGAGGCACGAAAGUGUGGGGAGCAAACAGG